RNAcentral lists this non-coding RNA (774 nucleotides) under Junonia villida. RNAcentral also lists the same sequence under 1 other name. Lineage: Eukaryota; Metazoa; Arthropoda; Insecta; Lepidoptera; Nymphalidae. The record is from RNAcentral.
AUAAAAUAAUUAUGUUUUUGGAAAUUUAUUAUAAAUUUAUUUUACAUAUAAAUUUUAGUAUAUAAUUUUAAUUAUUUAAAUAAUAAUUGAUUUAUUUUGGUAGUAAUUAAUAUUAAAAAUUUAAGAAAUUAAGAUUUAGUAAUAUAAAAAUUAAUAACUAAUUUUGUGCCAGCAGUUGCGGUUAAACAAAAGUUAAAUUAAAUUAUUUCAGUAUAUAAUAAAUAAUAAAAUUAUUAAAAUAAAUAUUAAAUUAUUAAGUGAAAUUUUAAUUUAAUUAAAUUUUAUUUAAAAUUUAUGAUUUAAUAAAUUUUAAUAUAAACUAGGAUUAGAUACCCUAUUAUUAAAAAUUUAAUUUAUAAUACUAAAAUAGUAAAUAAUAAUUUAUUGAAACUUAAAUAACAUGGCGGUAUUUUAGUUCAUUUAGAGGAAUCUGUCUAAUAAUUGAUAAUCCACGAAUAAAUUUACUUAAUUUAUAAUUUUGUAUAUCAUUGUUAAAAAAAUAUUUUUUAGGAAAAAUAAUAUUUAAAAAUUAUAAUAAAAAAUUAAAUCAGAUCAAGAUGCAGAAUAUAAUUAAGAAUAUGAUGGAUUACAUUAAAUAUAUUUAUAUGAAUAAUUUUAUUGUAAUAAAAAUUUGAAGGUGGAUUUAAAUGUAAUUUUAAUUAGUUUAUUAAAAUGAUUAAAAAUUAAAAUAUGUACAUAUUGCCCGUCACUUUCAUUUAAAAAUUGAAAUAAGUCGUAACAAAGUAGAGGUACUGGAAAGUGUUUCUAGAAAGA